Long non-coding RNA from Felis catus (domestic cat), 545 nucleotides. RefSeq lists it as uncharacterized. The record is from RefSeq and is a predicted model, not a curated record. The transcript has 2 exons. NCBI's taxonomy places the organism in Eukaryota, Metazoa, Chordata, Mammalia, Carnivora, Felidae.
CAACAAAUUGUCAAAGUUCUAGAAGCAAUAAAGGACUUUCAAAGAAGAAUCUUUUGGGACAAGGAAUAAAGAAUAUACACAGGGCUAAAGGAUGAUGAGACUGAAGCCUUCUAAAUGAUGAGAAAUAAACAGUUGUGAGGAGAUGGAAAAACAAAAAGAAAUCUUUCAGACGACAAAGGCUCGUAAGGACAGACGGAUCAAGACCCAUCCGCAUUCUUGGAGACGUGCGCAGAGCGAAAAGGAUGAAUGAAUGGAAGACAGGCGCGUGUGAAACGCAGCAGGUCCGGCCGGCAACUAGACCAGCAGCAGCGAUCAGUAGGCCUCGCUCCUCCCCCUUCCCUCCUCCAUGACAGCCCAGUAUCAAGCAUGGAGGGGAGAGGACAAUGUGAUCCCCGUUUCUCACCACCACCACCCUUCAUCCUACUCUGAGAGCUUUACCGCGCUACACGAGGUUCUCCUUCCCGCCCCAAACCUUUCUCGCCUCCCCAGCCGCCAACCCCGGCAACUCUUGAGCGCGCUGGAGUAACAUGCGCUUGCCCCUCUUG